RNAcentral lists this unclassified non-coding RNA (1042 nucleotides) under Hevea brasiliensis (rubber tree). Lineage: Eukaryota; Viridiplantae; Streptophyta; Magnoliopsida; Malpighiales; Euphorbiaceae. The record is from RNAcentral.
GACUAUGAGGUUGAGUAUGCGGAUCAUUGUUCAUCCUUGGGAGUGCUGGUCAGAGACGCAUUUCCAGUAAAAUUCACCAACGGUAGCUCCAUUGCUCCUCCUCUGGUGUUCGGUUGUGGGUAUGAUCAAGAAGUCCCAGCCUCUGAGCAUGCACCUUAUACGGAUGGAAUUCUUGGCCUAGGGAAUGGAAAAUCAAGCAUAGUAUCACAGUUGAGUAGCUUGGGUUUUAUCCGGAAUGUAGUAGGUCACUGUUUAAGCGGGCAAGGUGGAGGUUUUCUUUUCCUUGGAGAUGAUGUUGUCCCGUCUUCUGGGAUUGUUUGGUCACCUAUCGUCCGUGAAUCUUCAGAGAAACAUUAUUCUUUGGGACCGGCAGAUCUCCUUUUUGGUGGGCAGGCAACUGGGAUGAAGAGUCUACCGAUAAUUUUAGACAGUGGAAGUACCUUUACCUACUUCAAUUCCGAAGCUUACAAAACUCUGUUGUCUUCGAUUAAGAAAAACAUAGAUGCAAAGCAGCUGACUGAUGCAGUGAACGACAAAAGUUUGCCCGUCUGCUGGAAAGGCUCCAAACCUUUCAAAUCCCUUAAAGAUGCUACGAGGUACUUCAAGCCAUUGACACUUAGUUUCACAAAAGCUAAGAAUAUUCAGCUUCAACUGACACCCGAAGCUUAUCUUAUUCAUACUAAUAAGGGCAAUGUAUGCUUAGGGAUACUGAACGGUUCGGAGGUUGGAUUAGGAGCUGUUAAUAUCAUCGGAGAUAUUUCUAUGUUAGACAAAAUGGUGAUUUACGACAACGAAAAACAGCAGAUUGGAUGGGUUCCCGCAAACUGCAACAAGCUUCCAUCGUUGUCCUGAAUAUAUCAAUGAGGGCUAUGUAUGCUUAGGGAUACUGAACGGUUCGGAGGUUGGAUUAGGAGCUGUUAAUAUCAUCGGAGAUAUUUCUAUGUUAGACAAAAUGGUGAUUUACGACAACGAAAAACAGCAGAUUGGAUGGGUUCCCGCAAACUGCAACAAGCUUCCAUCGUUGUCCUGAAUAUAUCAAUGA